This is a non-coding RNA of Cucurbita pepo subsp. pepo (vegetable marrow), 889 nucleotides long. Lineage: Eukaryota; Viridiplantae; Streptophyta; Magnoliopsida; Cucurbitales; Cucurbitaceae. The record is from RefSeq and is a predicted model, not a curated record.
UAGUUUCCCCCUGAUCCAUAUCCUAACUCCAUUUGUUUGUAUGAAAUAGGACCUUAUUGAGGAAAAAUCACCCCCUUUCGAUACGCCAAGUGUGUGGAAACGCUGCGUAAGGGCACGUAGCAUCCAAGUACGUGAGGCGUCGAGUCAAGAGAGGGCGCGUCGAUCGAUGUGGGUUGUCACAGAGGAAGCGUGUCCCGGGGCGUCAAUCUAGUAUAUUGAAUAGUUCACUUUGACCUUAAUGUUUCUUUUCUUGUUUUUACCUAGGCACUUAUGUCCUUUUAAAUAAGAUACGUUUUUCUUUGAAACAAAUGAUUUCCUUGAAUUUCUCGUAUAUACAUUACAUGUCAUACAAUGUUAGUCACGGCUUAAAGAUUAUGUUUUUUUUUUUUUGGGUCCUGACAAGAAGUAACUGAGGCUGGUUCAAGGAGGAAGUCUGAAGGUGUUAGCCAAUUGAAGAAUCACUCACUGAAGCAUCAAACAUGAGUGGAAUUGAUGAGUACGAACACUCCUUAAACGGGGCUAUCAGGAAUGUUCAUUCUUUCAAAAUGCUCUCUCUCAUGCCUCUUCUAUCCAUUACAGAGAUGAAUGAAGUGGAAAGUUUCAAAGAAUUAGAAGCUCCAGCAGCUCAGUUUCUUGGUGGAGAGAUCAGAAAAGCAACUCUCUUAAGAACUCUGCAUAACAGAUAGCCAUUUAGAUUAAUCUCUGUCUAAUAAAGAGUGUAGUGGUUCCUAUCUUUAAAUUACUAUUCAUUCCUGCUUUUGAAUCAAACAUCGAUGCAGUGUAUCAUUUGGAAGAAAAUAAGAUAUGGGAUUUUCGUGUAAUUGAGAAUCAUGUACAACUCACUCUCAUUAAUGCUGAGAGAUUCAAUAAAAAUUGGGUUAUAAAGUUA